CCGCGCUAACCGGGGAGUCAGCGGUGCCCUGUAGCCCGCAAUCCGCUACAGCGGGGGUGAAUUCCUCCCCGAGGACUCGCGAUGUGCCGUCUGACCCGCGUGUACGCGGCGAUGAAGAGCCGGUCUCGCGCAACGCGCGCUCGUGAACCAUGUCAGGCGGGGAACCGAGCAGCAUUAAGCGACGUCGCGUGUGUGCCGUGAGGGCGCCGGUUCCGAGCCGGCUGCGAGGGUAACGGGUAUAUCGCGUUUUCGGAGGGCGGUGCGCGG
This 267-nucleotide signal recognition particle RNA is filed under the name Oscillospiraceae bacterium. RNAcentral's name for it is "signal recognition particle sRNA large type". It matches the Rfam family "Bacterial large signal recognition particle RNA". Rfam says of the family: The signal recognition particle (SRP) is a universally conserved ribonucleoprotein involved in the co-translational targeting of proteins to membranes. The record is from RNAcentral. Lineage: Bacteria; Bacillati; Bacillota; Clostridia; Eubacteriales; Oscillospiraceae.